Molecule: ribosomal RNA, 283 nt
Filed under: uncultured bacterium
Lineage: Bacteria
Description: partial 16S ribosomal RNA
Rfam family: Bacterial small subunit ribosomal RNA
Source: RNAcentral
GUGGAUUAGAUACCCUGGUAGUCCACGCCCUAAACUAUGAUUACUCGCUGUCGGCGAUAUACAGCCGGUAGCUAAGCGAAAGCGUUAAGUAAUCCACCUGGGGAGUACGCCCGCAAGGGUGAAACUCAAAGGAAUUGACGGGGGCCCGCACAAGCGGAGGAGCAUGUGGUUUAAUUCGAUGGUACGCGAGGAACCUUACCCGGGCUUGAAAGUUAGUGACCGACUCUGAAAGGAGUUUUUCCGUAAGGACACGAAACUAGGUGCUGCACGGCUGUCGUCAACU